ACACUCCUACGGGAGGCAGCAGUGGGGAAUUUUGGACAAUGGGGGCAACCCUGAUCCAGCAAUGCCGCGUGAGUGAAGAAGGCCUUCGGGUUGUAAAGCUCUUUUGUCAGGGAAGAAACGGUGGUGGCGAAUAACUACUACUAAUGACGGUACCUGAAGAAUAAGCACCGGCUAACUACGUGCCAGCAGCCGCGGUAAUACGUAGGGUGCAAGCGUUAAUCGGAAUUACUGGGCGUAAAGCGUGCGCAGGCGGUUGUGUAAGUCAGAUGUGAAAUCCCCGGGCUCAACCUGGGAAUUGCAUUUGAGACUGCACGGCUAGAGUGUGUCAGAGGGGGGUAAAAUUCCACGUGUAGCAGUGAAAUGCGUAGAUAUGUGGAGGAAUACCGAUGGCGAAGGCAGCCCCCUGGGAUAACACUGACGCUCAUGCACGAAAGCGUGGGGAGCAAACAGGAUUAGAUACCCGAGUAGUCC
Molecule: ribosomal RNA, 471 nt
Filed under: uncultured organism
Description: partial 16S ribosomal RNA
Rfam family: Bacterial small subunit ribosomal RNA
Source: RNAcentral